This 429-nucleotide ribosomal RNA is filed under the name Gemmatimonadota bacterium. RNAcentral describes it as "Gemmatimonadetes bacterium partial 16S ribosomal RNA". It matches the Rfam family "Bacterial small subunit ribosomal RNA", at positions 355 to 776 of the family's 1533-position model. Lineage: Bacteria; Pseudomonadati; Gemmatimonadota. The record is from RNAcentral.
UAGGGAAUCUUCGGCAAUGGACGAAAGUCUGACCGAGCAACGCCGCGUGAGUGAAGAAGGUUUUCGGAUCGUAAAACUCUGUUGUUAGAGAAGAACAAGGACGUUAGUAACUGAUCGUCCCCUGACGGUAUCUAACCAGAAAGCCACGGCUAACUACGUGCCAGCAGCCGCGGUAAUACGUAGGUGGCAAGCGUUGUCCGGAUUUAUUGGGCGUAAAGCGAGCGCAGGCGGUUUCUUAAGUCUGAUGUGAAAGCCCCCGGCUCAACCGGGGAGGGUCAUUGGAAACUGGGAGACUUGAGUGCAGAAGAGGGGAGUGGAAUUCCAUGUGUAGCGGUGAAAUGCGUAGAUAUAUGGAGGAACACCAGUGGCGAAGGCGGCUCUCUGGUCUGUAACUGACGCUGAGGCUCGAAAGCGUGGGGAGCAAACAGG